AAAAAAAAUGAAUAUUGUUAUUAACAUGGAUAACACUGUAACGUCAACUUGUAUAUUAUAGAAAUGCCUUAUUUUAUAUAUAUAGUAAAUUCUCUAAUAAAACAUUUGGUGUGUCGAAAACAUGUUUUAUUCUAAUAUCUUUUUCAUUGUUAUAAUAUUACAUUUUCCAGAUACUUAAGAUCCGGUACAAAUAAUAUGUAAGUAGAAAAAGACUAUUCAGUAAGUACCAAUUAAAAAGUAAAAAUUAUCAUUAACAUUGAUAACUCAUUAUCACUCAUUGAAGAAUUGUAUAAUUGUGACAUUUUGUAAUUUAAAUUUAAAAAAAAUCAAAAUUAGAAAAAUUAUAAAAUAUUCAACGUAAUUAUGUAAUAUUUUAAUUCAAAUGAUACAUGUCCCUAAUUUGCUACAACAAUGACAUGACACAUAAACAUGAUUUUACGCAGAAUGAAUUUGAAAACAGUAUUCAAACAAAACAUAUGAAUAACAAAUGAUAACGUAAUAACAUCACAACUGCCAUCUAGCGGCUAAUUUUAUAUUCUCACUUAAGUUGUAUUAUUACUAUGUAGUAUAAAGAAAAAUACCAAUAUUUUUAUUAUUUGCAAACAAAUAAAAAAUGACAACUUUAUGUAAUGUCGUUGUUUUAGCAUACCAGCAAUGUAUAGUUUUUUAGAAUUUAUUUAAAAUUAAAUUGAGAUUAUUAUAAAGAUGUCUAAAGUAUAUUUUUGGAAUGAAAGUAUAUCAUCCUUAGUAAUGUAUUAAUUACGAUGUUUUCAAAUAUCAAUUUGUCAGGAUAAGAAUAACUUACAAAUUAAAUAGGCAUUGUUUACAGUCAUAAACAAAGUUUAGACAAAUACAAUUGAUUAAAAAAAUUUAUAUAUAUAUUUUUACAUAAAAUAUUUGUAGUUUUUUAAGUACAUGUAGAAAAUGUCUAUUUUUUAAAUUUCACAUGAUUAUUGGUAGUUAAGAGGAUGUUAUACCUGCAUGUACUGUCUUAGUCCAACUACCGGGUAACAUGCAAAAAUAAUGCUUACACAAAAUAAGUAAAACUAGCUUAAUUUUGAUUUUAGAGUAAAUGUAACUAUUAUGAAAAUUAUAGAGACUAAUACUUUGGGGGGAAUGUUAUAGGGUAUUUGUAUUUAAAAUUUAUAGCUCAAUAUAUAAUAUACAAAAAACCUUAUUUUUUAAUAGUUUAUAAUUCAAAAAAACACUUAUGACGUUUCUUCCAAAAUAUUGUUCUAUAUAAAUUUUAUAAGUACUUUUACUCUAAAAUCAAAAUUAAGCUAGUUUUACUUAUUCUGCGUAAGUAUUGCUUUUGUAUGUUACCCAGUAGUUGGACUGUGACAGUAGAUGUGGGUAUAACGUCCUCUUAAGUGUUAGGUUUAGUAAAAAUUAUACAUUUUGAUAUUUUUUAAUUUGUAAUCUCCACUCAACAGGUUAAAUUCAUUGGAAACUUAUAGAUCCACUGCAAGUAUUUUAAUAAUUUAUAAUAAAAUAUUAAUUUAAAUUGGGCCCAUCCGAUUUAUUUAUGUAUUACUAAUGAAGUUCUUAAUCUGACACUACCCAUUGCUAUGGUACAAAAAUGUCAUCAAUAUGGCAUAUAUAUAAUUUAUAUAUUAUUUUAUACAUAUUUAAAGUUUACUUGGGGAGUAUGGACAAUCAAAAUAAAUUAGUGAAAAAUAAUAUAGCUGUACAAAUGUAGAUAAAAUGCUAUAUGAUCUUCAUCCAAAUAUGAACUUCAAAAAAUUAUAUAUAAUAUAUAAUAUGUAUAUAAAAUAAAGUGUCAUUAACAACAUUUAUGUGCUAUUUUAUUUUUAGUAGUGAGUUAUAAAUUUUGGUAUAGAAUUUUCAAGGAUUUUUUUAUGUAGAAAGUCUACUUAAUUUGAGACAAAUUUAUCAAAUUGAUGUCAGUCUGUAAGCCUAUUAAUUACUAAAAUAAGCUAUUAUUUUUAUAAAAUCUAUUUUGUCUUGAACCGAUUUUUCGUAAAUUUGUCUAUUUUUUCUGUGGACUACCAGUUAUAAUAAGAAAAAUGCUUAUGAUUACAAAAAAAUGCAUCAACUUAGAGUCUAGUUACAAGACAAUAUUUUUUACCAGAAAUCAUCCCAGAUUUUAAUGAUUGGUGCUGAAUUUGUGUACACAGAAAAAUGAAAAACAUAUUACCAAAUAUGAUCCAAACAAGGAUCAAUUAGUUAAUAAGAAGUUACUUCACUGUAGUCAUCUCUGCAGAUUAUGAUCGUGUUAUUUUUUUAAAACUUAAUUUGUAUUAAACUUAAGUAUAAUUUAAUUAUGAGUACCUACAAAAAUCAAAAUAAUCACAAUUUAUUAAGUGAAAU
RNAcentral lists this long non-coding RNA (2331 nucleotides) under Cinara cedri. Lineage: Eukaryota; Metazoa; Arthropoda; Insecta; Hemiptera; Aphididae. The record is from RNAcentral.